This is a long non-coding RNA of Labeo rohita (rohu), 192 nucleotides long. RefSeq lists it as uncharacterized. The record is from RefSeq and is a predicted model, not a curated record. NCBI's taxonomy places the organism in Eukaryota, Metazoa, Chordata, Actinopteri, Cypriniformes, Cyprinidae. The transcript has 2 exons.
UGUCUGCAGACAUCCACAGCAGCAUCCUGGAAAUGGCCUGGUGCCAUGGAUGAGAUCCUCCAUCACUCCACCUGCCAUUACUGCCUCAUCUGGGCCAGAUGUUUCUGUGCCCUCUUCAUCCUCAUAUCAGUCAAUGGAGGCCAACUUUCAGACGUUCCAAAAGCAUCAACAAAUAAAGUCAUGAAACUUUUA